RNAcentral lists this unclassified non-coding RNA (253 nucleotides) under uncultured Pirellulaceae bacterium. RNAcentral's name for it is "contains 16S-23S intergenic spacer region". It matches the Rfam family "Bacterial small subunit ribosomal RNA", at positions 524 to 776 of the family's 1533-position model. Lineage: Bacteria; Pseudomonadati; Planctomycetota; Planctomycetia; Pirellulales; Pirellulaceae. The record is from RNAcentral.
CACGAACCGUACGAACGUUAUUCGGAAUCACUGGGCUUAAAGCGUGCGUAGGCGGCCUGGAGGGUGGGGUGUGAAAUCCCUCGGCUCAACCGAGGAAUUGCGCUCCAAACCGUCAGGCUGGAGGGAGAUAGAGGUGAGCGGAACUAAUGGUGGAGCGGUGAAAUGCGUUGAUAUCAUUAGGAACACCGGUGGCGAAAGCGGCUCACUGGGUCUCUUCUGACGCUGAGGCACGAAAGCUAGGGGAGCGAACGGG